AAAAGUUGGUCGGUGGAGACAAGGGGGCCGAUGUCAGUGAGGAUGAAAAGGCAGAGAAUGCGGAUGAAAAUAACAAAGAAGCACCGAAGGAAAAUAAUGAGGAGGAAACAAAUAAAGAAGAGGAAGUGAAGGAAACAAGCAAAGAAGAGGAAGUGACUGAAGUUGAUGAGCUUUACGUGAAAGACAAAAAAACAGAGAGUAAGGACAAGAAUGAAAAUGAAAUAAAUGACGGGAAGGAUGAGGAUGAAGAUAAAGAGGAAGAGACGAAGGACGAGAAGGAAGAUGAAAAAGAAGAGAGCAUGGAUGAUAAGGAAGAUGAAAAAGAAGAGAGUAAUGAUGAUA
Molecule: long non-coding RNA, 342 nt
Filed under: Capsella grandiflora
Lineage: Eukaryota; Viridiplantae; Streptophyta; Magnoliopsida; Brassicales; Brassicaceae
Description: long non-coding RNA (CGRA_LNC001541)
Source: RNAcentral